Cygnus olor (mute swan) is the source of this 1373-nucleotide long non-coding RNA. RefSeq lists it as uncharacterized. The transcript has 3 exons. The record is from RefSeq and is a predicted model, not a curated record. NCBI's taxonomy places the organism in Eukaryota, Metazoa, Chordata, Aves, Anseriformes, Anatidae.
CAAGUAUUUUAUCUGGAAUAUACUCUAAAUUUAAAAAAGUGUCCUGUAUGGCCUCACAUGACGAACUACUACCAAUUAUUCCAAAAGGCAGAUUUAAGAAAAUAAAGAGAAGCAAAACAGUAACUCUAAAAAUUGUAACAUAAAUGAGCUUCUUCAUCAUGGAACAUAACUACAGUUUUGCCCCAAAACAAAUAUACACAUAUAUAUUUAAUUUAUUUUUUAAUUGGUUAGGGGGAAGGAAGGGAAGAGAAAGAUACUUUUACCACUUUUAUUGCUUCAAGAACAUCAUUGACUUAAAACAAAUUAUAGGCAUGGCUCUAAGAAGUUAUUAGAAGACAGCUGUGUUACUUCCUUGAAGAGUUAAUCCACUCUUUAAUAGCAUGAGUCAGAUCUUUAGGUCAGUUUAUGAGCAGUUAUUCAGUUAUAAAUACCAAAGAUAAGCAUAUGACAGUCAAGUUUAACAGAUGGGGGGAAAGAGGACUAGUACUGCCAAAUGGAAGAGUUUCCUUCACAUAUGAGGUCACCAAAUAAUAAAUGGUUUAAAAAAAAAGUAAUCCCUGCAUUUUUGUAUGCUGCACAUACUUUUUUCCCCCCCAAUUUGUUAGCAUUAUUAGAUGUCCAUGGAAUUAGUCUUAUUUAAAAAAAAAACUAACCAACAUAUAAUUUCAGUAGUUGUAUACAAAUGUAAGAACUCAUUAUACUUACAUUUGAGAGAAAUAUCUAACUACAUGUAUGAUUUUAUAUGGUAAUCCUAUGAAAAAUCUACUUCAAAAUACAUCAUUUUAUCACUGAAAAGAAGGGAAUGAUUAAAUCUUAGGAGGCAGUUUUAUUGCAACCUGUUCUGCCUAACACUCAGAUAUGUAGAAAUACACAAUCACCUUAGAGGCAAAGUUGUGUUAAAAACAAAGAUGUUCCAUAAGCUAUUAUAAACUUGCCUAAGCCAGAUUUUACAGUCCAUGGAAAAAGGAGUGUCAGAAACAUUCAAAUUGUCACCUGCUUUUAGCAUUCUGCAGUACUCCUUCCACAGUUCUCACCAUUUUGUCUCCUCAUCUUCAGACUCAAUCGCUUCCCUAACAAAGGGAACCAAUAUUAUGGCUCAUCUCAACUUCCCCAGAUAUUUGGUAUUCUGAACACCAGGAUACAUGUAUGGAGCUACUCACCUCCUGGUCCAAAUAAGAGAAAAUUCCAUAUCCUCAGGAACAAGAAAUUAAACAAAUCCAUUAACCCUACCCUUGCCGAUUACAUACUCAAGUAAAUUUAAACCACAUAAGAAAAUUACAUCAUUACACAUAUCCACAAAAAGAGUUAACACAAGAAACAAACCGAACGUAAAGGGAAAAGUUACAGUAAGAUUUAAAUGUAGAGAUGUAUAU